CCUACGGGCCGCACCAGUGGGGAAUAUUGGACAAUGGGCGAAAGCCUGAUCCAGCAAUGCCGCGUGUGUGAAGAAGGUCUUCGGAUAGUAAAGCACUUUCGACGGGGACGAUGAUGACGAUACCCGUAGAAGAAGCCCCGGCUAACUUCGUGCCAGCAGCCGCGGUAAUACGAAGGGGGCUAGCGUUGCUCGGAAUGACUGGGCGUAAAGGGCGCGUAGGCGGUUUAUGCAGUCAGAUGUGAAAUCCCCGGGCUUAACCUGGGAACUGCAUUUGAGACGCAUAGACUAGAGGUCGAAAGAGGGUUGUGGAAUUCCCAGUGUAGAGGUGAAAUUCGUAGAUAUUGGGAAGAACACCGGUGGCGAAGGCGGCAACCUGGCUCGAUACUGACGCUGAGGCGCGAAAGCGUGGGGAGCGAACAGGAUUAGAUACCCCUGUAGUC
RNAcentral lists this ribosomal RNA (440 nucleotides) under uncultured bacterium. RNAcentral's name for it is "bacterial SSU rRNA". It matches the Rfam family "Bacterial small subunit ribosomal RNA", at positions 338 to 795 of the family's 1533-position model. The record is from RNAcentral.